RNAcentral lists this long non-coding RNA (621 nucleotides) under Lonchura striata (white-rumped munia). RNAcentral describes it as "domestica (Bengalese finch) lncRNA (ENSLSDG00000002088.1)". Lineage: Eukaryota; Metazoa; Chordata; Aves; Passeriformes; Estrildidae. The record is from RNAcentral.
CUUUUAGCCUGGUAAAAACUGAUUGUUUCUCACAGAUGUUCUCCAAGCACUCAGGGAUCUGAUGCAGCAGGAGCUGGACGAGGCUGGUCUGGAUUCCAGCUCUGUGCUCUUCACUCAGCACGAAGUGGCCAAUUUGCUGGAUACUUCAGCUUUUCACUCCCCGACCUUUGACUCUCUCAAUUGCAAUGGCAGCGAGGACCUGGAGCAGCUGCAGCUGGAGAUGAGGGAUCUGCGGCACGAAGUCCGCAGGCUGAAGGUGGAGCCUCCUCUCAGAGCAGAUUUCUUGGCUGGGGUGUUCUGCUGUAGCUCUCUGUGGGGGUAAUGGGGUGGCCUGUCCCUCUGGAGAAGUCACCAGUUUGCAUUCUGUGCAUUCCUCGUCGCACAGGAGCCUCUCACCCUCCACUCUCCUUAAUUGCCUCUUUCUUUCUCUUAACCUCAAAGGAAAACUUAUUGGUACUCAAGCAUGCAGUCCCUUCUCAGCAGGGAGUUAAUAUAUUUAAAAAGCAGGUCUCAUUAAGAAUUCCAGUGUGUGAUUAACAGAAGCAGCACCUGUCCUCUCACCCGUACCUGGCUGUGAGCACCUCGGCUGUGUCCAGGUGGAAUUCUGCAGGUCACAGCUCU